Molecule: long non-coding RNA, 615 nt
Organism: Lemur catta (Ring-tailed lemur)
Lineage: Eukaryota; Metazoa; Chordata; Mammalia; Primates; Lemuridae
Exons: 3
Source: RefSeq, a predicted model, not a curated record
CCUGGCCCAGGAAGUCCCGCCCCAGGCUUCACCAUGGCGUUGACUUGCUGCACCGCGCGCCCGAAGUUGGUUGCUUGAAAGCCAGUGGUGCCGAAGGCUUCCAGCAGUGCGCGCAAGACUUUGAACCCCUCGGUGGCGUCUGUAUCUCAGAAGCAUCCUCCUAACAGUGCACAGAGUCUAGUGCGGACGCGUUUGUUCACUCUAUCUACAACUUAUGGAGUCUUUAUAUUGGGCUCUGCUAGGCACUGAGGACUUAGCGAUGAUUAAGACCAAGACUUGGACCCUGCCCUCCUGGAGCCCAUAGUCUGAUUGGGAAGAUAGAAAGUUAACAGUGAAGAAAUUUGGACACAAAAAUUGACAACAGGGAUGCCCGUACACAGAGGGAAGGUCAUGUGAGGACAUGGCAAGAAGGCCACCAUUUACAAGCCAAGAAGAGAAGCCUCAGAAGAAACCAAACCUACCAACACCUCAAUCUUGGAUUUCCAGCCUCCAGAACUGUGAGAAAAUAAAUUUCUGUUGUUUAAGCCACUCAGUUGGUGGUAUUUUGCUUCAGGGGCCUAAGCUGACUCAUACAACACUGAAUGAAUAAAUGAAUGAAUGAACAAACACAAAGGC